Pelobates cultripes (western spadefoot toad) is the source of this 380-nucleotide non-coding RNA. The record is from the annotation of a GenBank genome assembly. NCBI's taxonomy places the organism in Eukaryota, Metazoa, Chordata, Amphibia, Anura, Pelobatidae.
UCCAUAUUAAAUACCUCCCGUCAUCAUCCGUUAUAACUUUGUUUGUCAAGCAUGCUACAUUCCUGUGAAAAAAAAAUCGAUGUACCUCUAGACUUGGAUUUAUAAGUGCAAUGGUAUUGAACUGGGAAAAGCUUUGACAUGAUUUUAUGGUCUUUAUCAUCUUUAAAAUGUGUUUCCUGUACACAAAGCACAUCUGAUUCGUUGGAUUUUGCUUCUUUGAAUAAUAAUCGUCUCUUGUGGGCGGUGUUCAGGCCUCUCACAUUAAAUGACAUAUAUUUUAAGACCAUGGUUUAUAGAACAAUAAUACCUGAUAAAGGGUAAAGGAACAUUCAAUCUUGUGAGAGUCCCAGCCACCACCUUCCAAGAGAGAAACAUGCAAG